Molecule: ribosomal RNA, 348 nt
Filed under: uncultured bacterium
Lineage: Bacteria
Description: partial 16S ribosomal RNA
Rfam family: Bacterial small subunit ribosomal RNA
Source: RNAcentral
CCUACGGGAGGCAGCAGUGGGGAAUAGUGGACAAUGGGGGAAACCCUGAUCCAGCGACGCCGCGUGAGUGAAGAAGGAUUUCGGUACGUAAAGCUCUAUCAGCAGGAAAGAAAAUGACGGUACCUGACGAAGAAGCCCCGGCUAACGACGGGCCAGCAGCCGCGGGAAGACGGAGGGGGCAAGCGUUAGCCGGAUUUACUGGGUGGACAGGGAGCGGAGACGGCAGCGCAAGACUGGAGUGAAAUGCCGGGGCCCAACCCCGGAACUGCUCUGGAAACUGUGAAGCUGGAGUGCAGGAGAGGUAAGCGGAAUUCCUGGUUUAGCGGUGCAAUGCGUAGAUAUCGGGCG